AUUGAACGCUGGCGGCAUGCUUUACACAUGCAAGUCGAACGGCAGCACGGGUGCUUGCACCUGGUGGCGAGUGGCGAACGGGUGAGUAAUGCACCGGAACGUAUCCAAUAAUGGGGGAUAACGCACCGAAAGAUGUGCUAAUACCGCAUACGCCCUGAGGGGGAAAGCGGGGGACCGUAAGGCCUCGCGUUACUGGAGCGGCCGAUGCCGGAUUAGCUAGUUGGUGAGGUAAAGGCUCACCAAGGCGACGAUCCGUAGCUGGUCUGAGAGGACGGCCAGCCACACUGGGACUGAGACACGGCCCAGACUCCUACGGGAGGCAGCAGUGGGGAAUUUUGGACAAUGGGCGCAAGCCUGAUCCAGCCAUGCCGCGUGAGUGAAGAAGGCCUUCGGGUUGUAAAGCUCUUUCGCAAGGAAAGAAAACUCAUCUCCUAAUACGGGGUGAGGAUGACGGUACCUUGAUAAGAAGCACCGGCUAACUACGUGCCAGCAGCCGCCGUAA
This 502-nucleotide ribosomal RNA is filed under the name uncultured bacterium. RNAcentral describes it as "partial 16S ribosomal RNA". It matches the Rfam family "Bacterial small subunit ribosomal RNA", at positions 29 to 523 of the family's 1533-position model. The record is from RNAcentral.